RNAcentral lists this ribosomal RNA (468 nucleotides) under uncultured bacterium. RNAcentral describes it as "partial 16S ribosomal RNA". It matches the Rfam family "Bacterial small subunit ribosomal RNA", at positions 28 to 507 of the family's 1533-position model. The record is from RNAcentral.
GACGAACGCUGGCGGCGUGCUUAACACAUGCAAGUCGAACGGAAAGGCCCUGCUUUUGUGGGGUGCUCGAGUGGCGAACGGGUGAGUAACACGUGAGUAACCUGCCCUUGACUUUGGGAUAACUUCAGGAAACUGGGGCUAAUACCGGAUAGGAGCUCCUGCUGCAUGGUGGGGGUUGGAAAGUUUCGGCGGUUGGGGAUGGACUCGCGGCUUAUCAGCUUGUUGGUGGGGUAGUGGCUUACCAAGGCUUUGACGGGUAGCCGGCCUGAGAGGGUGACCGGCCACAUGGGGACUGCGAUACGGCCCAGACUCCUACGGGAGGCAGCGGUGGGGAAUAUUGCCCAAUGGGAGGAAGCCUGAUGCAGCAACGCCGCGUGCGGGAUGACGGCCUUCGGGUUGUAAACCGCUUUCGCCUGUGACGAAGCGUGAGUGACGGUAAUGGGUAAAGAAGCACCGGCUAACUACGUG